This 505-nucleotide ribosomal RNA is filed under the name uncultured bacterium. RNAcentral describes it as "bacterial SSU rRNA". It matches the Rfam family "Bacterial small subunit ribosomal RNA", at positions 30 to 526 of the family's 1533-position model. The record is from RNAcentral.
AUUGAACGCUGGCGGCAUGCUUUACACAUGCAAGUCGAACGGCAGCAUAGGUGCUUGCACCUGAUGGCGAGUGGCGAACGGGUGAGUAAUAUAUCGGAACAUGUCCGGAAGUGGGGGAUAACGUAGCGAAAGUUACGCUAAUACCGCAUAUGCCCUGAGGGGGAAAGGGGGGGAUCGCAAGACCUCUCGCUUUCGGAGUGGCCGAUAUCGGAUUAGCUAGUAGGUGAGGUAAAGGCUCACCUAGGCGACGAUCCGUAGCUGGUCUGAGAGGACGACCAGCCACACUGGGACUGAGACACGGCCCAGACUCCUACGGGAGGCAGCAGUGGGGAAUUUUGGACAAUGGGCGCAAGCCUGAUCCAGCCAUGCCGCGUGAGUGAAGAAGGCCUUCGGGUUGUAAAGCUCUUUCAGCUGGAAAGAAAUCGUACUUAUUAAUACUAGGUGCGGAUGACGGUACCAGCAGAAGAAGCACCGGCUAACUACGUGCCAGCCGCCGCGGUAAAAC